Molecule: ribosomal RNA, 413 nt
Filed under: uncultured bacterium
Lineage: Bacteria
Description: bacterial SSU rRNA
Rfam family: Bacterial small subunit ribosomal RNA
Source: RNAcentral
UUUAAUUCGAAGCAACGCGCAGAACCUUACCAUCCCUUGACAUGUCGUGCCAUCCGGAGAGAUCCGGGGUUCCCUUCGGGGACGCGAACACAGGUGCUGCAUGGCUGUCGUCAGCUCGUGUCGUGAGAUGUUGGGUUAAGUCCCGCAACGAGCGCAACCCACGUCCUUAGUUGCCAUCAUUCAGUUGGGCACUCUAGGGAGACUGCCGGUGAUAAGCCGCGAGGAAGGUGUGGAUGACGUCAAGUCCUCAUGGCCCUUACGGGAUGGGCUACACACGUGCUACAAUGGCGGUGACAGUGGGACGCGAAGGAGCGAUCUGGAGCAAAUCCCCAAAAACCGUCUCAGUUCAGAUUGCACUCUGCAACUCGAGUGCAUGAAGGCGGAAUCGCUAGUAAUCGUGGAUCAGCAUGCCA